This 72-nucleotide transfer RNA is filed under the name Halobacteriales archaeon. RNAcentral describes it as "tRNA-Thr". It matches the Rfam family "tRNA". Rfam says of the family: Transfer RNA (tRNA) molecules are approximately 80 nucleotides in length. Their secondary structure includes four short double-helical elements and three loops (D, anti-codon, and T loops). Lineage: Archaea; Methanobacteriati; Methanobacteriota; Halobacteria; Halobacteriales. The record is from RNAcentral.
GCCUGAUUGGCUUAGGGGUAAAGCGCGUCCUUGGUAAGGACGAGAUCCCGGGUUCAAUUCCCGGAUCAGGCU